Molecule: long non-coding RNA, 1794 nt
Organism: Lagenorhynchus albirostris (white-beaked dolphin)
Lineage: Eukaryota; Metazoa; Chordata; Mammalia; Artiodactyla; Delphinidae
Exons: 5
Source: RefSeq, a predicted model, not a curated record
UUUUCACAAUAAACUUACUUGAAUUUCACAAUAAAUUAGUCCACUCCUGAUGCUGAGGCACAGAGAUGUCUUCUAGAGCCAACAGUGACAUCCAUCCUUCCAUUACCUCGCGAGUGGACCUUAAGGUUGGGGUCCUGCUUUUCCAACUGGCCAUUGAAGGAUCUGCAUGGCUGAUUUGACCUCACCAAGGAGACGGGGUGUGGUGUUUGAAUUUCUUCACUCUCUCAUCUGCCCGAGCUCUCACAGAACUAGAUCUGGAACUGGAACACGAGCCAAUCACCAGGGUGGCAGUCUUCCUGCCCAUCUACGUGAGACUUAAAGGCCAACCUUAGAGGAACCUGCUGUUUCUCCUCCAAGAAAUUGUUCUGCGUCUAGAGACACAUGUGUUCCGUUUUAAUUAGAAACCGGUGGGGCACUGGGCCGGCUGGCUAGCAGCUCAGGCCAUGCUGGAAACCAGAGGGCUGAGUGGAGGCCAGGACGUCUGAGCAUAUCUUCAGGGCUUUCUUCCCACCUGCUGCUUGUGGAGGCGUUCUGCCACUUUCCACGCACCCGUCACUGCACAUCCUCCACCCCGUCUGCACUCCCAUCAUCAUUAUCCUCACCUGCCAUGGGGCCGGGACGUGGCAGUGUAUUAGUUGUCACAUAUGAGAGAAAACCAGCCUGAGAUGACGGUGGGUACAGCCCCACAAGACCGUCAGAGCCUGGUGUCCGGGCUCCUGGUCCCGUGCUCUCAUGCCACCCUCAGCAGCAAGGACUCAGAGUCAGACGCCCAAAGAGAGAAACAUUCCUCUGAGGACCACGGUGAGGGGGCACCCGCCCCCCCAAAACUAUGGACCAGCCAAAGCACUGGUGGUUCCUAAGAAAUUGAACUGCGUGAGCAUUUGUGAGAACUACCCCACUUUUUACGAGCAUCUCACCUGGUCCAUCACCCUUUGGCGGAACACACUUUGGAGAGACGGUAAAAGGAGUGGAGGUAAGCAAGAGUUCGCAUUCCUCUCCGAGCUUUGGACCAGAAUCUGGCUUAGAGAAGGUGAGCUGGCCUCAGCACUGCCCUGGCAGCAGGACUCCAAGUGCCCACAGUGGGUACCAGCCACUCUACCUGGGGGAUGGUGAGUGUCCGGAAGGGGAGGGCAUUUCCUGUACUUCCCUGACUGUGGUCGGCUGGAAAGCCUAGGCUGGUGGCCACUUAGAAGAGUCUUAAGAGCGUCAGAGUUUCAUUUUGGGUUUGAAACACUGUACCAGGCCACCUUUUAAUAGUCACAAUGCCGCCUGUGACACAGCACGGGGUGUGUGUCAUCUGAGGAGGAAGCGUGCUCUCUCCCCGCAGUCCAGGGCCGUGGCAUUUCCUCUCUUCAGUGUGUUUUUCUUGCCAGCAACAACUAAGCCCAAGGCCACCAUUUGCACAAUUCCAGGGAUUCUGCUACUUUGCUGUGGAGAACCCGCGAGAACGGCGUCUCCCAGGGCUGUGCAAAGCGGUGGUGCGGUCCAAGCGCUUGCCUGCUGCAGGGUUUUGCCAGGACAGUCCUAUCUAUUUCGUAAGUCCCACCUCAAUGUCACCUCUAGUUAGAGCAGGCCCCUGCUAUUUACUAUCAUGAUAUCCUGUUUGUAUUCUUUACACAUGGUGACUCAUUUAUCGACACCUGAAUCCCUACAUAUUUUUACUUUUUUGAAUAUUGUCUGUCUCCUCCUCAAAUAAAAUAUGAACUCCACAGGGUUGAGCAGAGUUUUGUUUGUUUGUUUUUUUGGCCAAUGCUGGAUCCUUGGUGCCUUGGACAGUGCCUGGCACAGAGUCGC